GAUGAACGCUGGCGGCGUGCCUAAUACAUGCAAGUCGAGCGAACAGACGAGGAGCUUGCUCCUCUGACGUUAGCGGCGGACGGGUGAGUAACACGUGUAUAACCUACCUAUAAGACUGGUAUAACUUCGGGAAACCGGAGCUAAUACCGUAUAAUAUAUUGAACCGCAUGGGUCAAUAGUGAAAUACGGUUUUUCUGGCACUUAUAGAUGGAUCCGCGCCGCAUGAGCUAGUUGGUAAGUUAACGGCUUACCAAGGCGAGGAUGCGUAUACGACCUAAGAGGGUGAUAGGCCACACUGGAGGGGAGCCACGGUCCAGAGUCCUACGGGAGGCCGCAGACGCGAAUCUUCCGCAAUGGGCGAGAGCCUGACGGAGCGGCGCCGAGUGAGAGAUGACGGUCUUCGGAUCGUAAAGAUCUGUUAUUAGGGAAGAACAAAUGUCGCCGUAAAUAUGCACGUAUUGACGGUAACUAAUAAGAAAGCAACGGCUAACUACGUG
RNAcentral lists this ribosomal RNA (497 nucleotides) under uncultured bacterium. Its description in RNAcentral is "partial 16S ribosomal RNA". It matches the Rfam family "Bacterial small subunit ribosomal RNA", at positions 28 to 507 of the family's 1533-position model. The record is from RNAcentral.